CCAUGGCCGACCCACGGCCCUGCCAGCCCCACAGCUGACCCACGGCCACCCCACGGCCCUGCCAGCCCCACGGCUGCCCCAUGGCCGACCCACGGCCCUGCCAGCCCCACGGCCACCCCACGGCCACCCCACGGCUGACCCACGGCCCUGCCAGCCCCACGGCCAACCCACGGCUGCCCCAUAGCCCCUGCCAGCCCCAUGGCUGCCCCACGGCCACCCAACGGCUGCCCCACGGCUGCCCCAUAGCCCCUGCCAGCCCACGGCCAACCCACGGCCCUGCCAGCCCCACAGCGCCAGGGCUGCCCCACACCCCAGCCAGCCCCAGAGCCCCACAAGUGCCCCAUGGCCACCCCAUGGCCUUUGCCAGCCCCACAGCUGCCCCGUGGCUGCCCCACAGCCCUGCCAGCCCCACAGCUGCAGCCCCACAGCCCGCAGCACCCGCCCCUCGCCCCGUUUCCGCGUUUUCACCGUUUCCCGUUUUUCGCCCCGUUUCCCGCAGGCCUGUUACCUGCGGGGGCUGAACCCCGCGCGCCUGGAGCCGCCCGAGUGCCGCGCGUGGCUGGAGCGCUGGCUGCGCCUCUCGGGGCAGCUCGCAGCCUCGGAGGCGUCUCUGCUGGCGCACAGCACGGUGCUGCUGGCGCUCAACCACCAACGCGCCUGACGCCCCAAUUCUGCCCCAAAACCGGCGUUUUGGGGCCGCCGAAGCGCCAGAGGGACCCGCGGGGACUCCCGGCGCCGUCCCGGGCCCACCCGGAUCAUCCGUGUUUGGUGACACCAGAUCAUCUGUGUUCGGUGACUCCGGAUCAUCUGUGUUCGGUGACUCUGGAUCAUCCACGUUCGGUGACUCCGGAUCAUCUGUGUUCGGUGACACCGAGUCGCAUCGCCGGGGACACGCGGCUCCGUGGGCUCCGUCGCGCUGCUCGGACCGGGGGGGUCGCGGCGCCGCUUCGCUGGGUUUGGUAGAGAAAAACUGCGCCGAGAACCGGGAAAAGACCCAAACAUCCCCCGCGGUGGCACCGGGGGGCCCGGGGGGGUCCGGGGUCUUGAGCCGCGGCGGAAGCGGCACCAAAACGGGGUGAAAAGCGUCAAAAUCCGGCUGGUGAGUGAACUGUUCGCAUCGAGGCAAAAACCUGCAAAACGGCUUUUUUCAGCAUUUUUUGGGGUGAAAUCCGGCGGCGUCUGCGCCGGGAUCUGCGCCCCCCCCCCCCCCUCCCCCCGCCAGGACGCACCGGGGGGGUCAGACCCUUUCAAACGCGACUCGCCGCGCAACUUUGAGCGUUUCUUUUAUUUUUACACUUAAAUAUUUCUCUUUAAAUACAGCGAUAUCACCAGCGGGAGGACGGAAGAGGCCGGGGGGGCGGGGGGGGCAAUAAAGACAUUUGGAGCAGCUUUGGAUCCACACGGAAAACGGAAAAUAAACGUUAAAAAAAGCCA
Columba livia (rock pigeon) is the source of this 1434-nucleotide long non-coding RNA. RefSeq lists it as uncharacterized. NCBI's taxonomy places the organism in Eukaryota, Metazoa, Chordata, Aves, Columbiformes, Columbidae. The record is from RefSeq and is a predicted model, not a curated record. The transcript has 2 exons.